This 1931-nucleotide long non-coding RNA is filed under the name Homo sapiens (human). RNAcentral describes it as "HSALNT0119934". The record is from RNAcentral. Lineage: Eukaryota; Metazoa; Chordata; Mammalia; Primates; Hominidae.
UCAAAGUGAGCCGAUCUCACUCACUGUCAGACACUGCAGAGUGAGAAACAGAUGAUGGUUCUGUGGCAAACGUCCUUUUGCUGAAUAUUCUACCUACGGAAGAAGCAAAGAAGUCUAAGUUCUUUGGAGUAAGAUGCUCUCAAAUGCCUAGGAACACUGAUCUCCUAACUUGUCUUCCUGCUUUGAGUGUCCCUCUGAGGUUAAAGUUCCUGCCUCAGUCUCCAACAAUGGUAAGUACAAAAUCAAUGUUAGUUCCUGACCGCUCCCCCUCUCUGUGUAUUGGUCAAUCACUGUCUGAUCAUACUGUACUGAAAUUAAUUCUUGGAAUGUCUGUCUUCCCCUAGACUAUAAGCCUCUCUGGGCAAGAUCCACGUCUUACUCAUUUUUGUGUCUGCAGUUUAGUUCCUGGUUCAUUGUAGGUUCUCAAUAAACGUUUGUUAGAAUGAGUUGAUCUCUUGGAUCCAGUGCCCCAGAAAGAUAUGUAAGUACUAUUUUUAUCCUUUCCCAUUGUGUGUCCACCUUCUCUCCAAUCCUAGAUCACCAAAAGUGAAGCAGAAGUGAUGAGAGUAGCAAUUUGUAGUAUCAAAACGACUUCUUAUAGUGCACAGAAAGCCCAGCACUGUCUCGUAUGGGAGACUCGUGGUUCUGCCACUGUCUUGCUGGGUGACCUGAGAUAACUUCUUUUCUCUCUGGGUCUGAUUCCUCACAGGUCAUUUCCACUGCUGCCCACUGAGGAGUGCCACUGGAGAUGAUCUCACAACAAAGAGAGGGGGAGAGGUCAGGAACUAACAUCUAUUUUGUAGUUACCACUGUGGUAUGGUUUGCAACAUGGCUCUGUAACCCUCAGGAUCCCUACCAGAUAUUUUCAUCUAUUCCCUUAUUCUCCUCAGGUCCCUGGCCCUCCCCUUUCCUCUGUGCUCUCAGCAGCUGACCUUGUCUUUUCCUUUACUGAGAGUAGAGGCACCUCUUACAAAUACUCUGGCCUCUGCCUGGACUGACUGGGCUAAAUUGUCUCCGAAGAUGGCCACCAACCAUUCCUCCCACCUGUCUGCAUGCAGGCUGCUCCUCCCGUCAGAAGAUGGAGACUGCUUCCUUGCCCUUCAAUCCAAGCUGGCUCAUGACUUGCUUCAAUGAAUAGGAAAUGGCAGAAGUGAUGCUCUGAGGCUUCUGGGCCUAGACUUUAAGAGGUGUUGCCCCUUUCCUUUUUCCCUCUUGGGAUCCAGCCUACCACAUAGAGAAGUUUGGGUUGACAACUAAAUGUGAGAGAGAGACAGACAGAGAGAAGAGGGAGAGCUGAUUCAGCUAGACCUUAGUCAUUCCAGCCAUCCUAGCUGAAGCACUAGCAUGUGAAAGAAGCCACCUUCUAACCUAUCAAUCAGAGCCCCCAAUUUUACUGACCUCAGUCAACACCAUGUGGAACAGAACUACCCCAGGGAGCCCAACCAACCCAUACAAUCAUGAGAAAUUAAAAACUGAUGUUGUAGCCUCCUGAGUUUUAAGGUAGUUUGUUACACAAAAAUACUGGAAUUUUGACCCACCUUCACCUCCAAUGCCAACCUAGUAAACCUGGAUAUAUCUUUCAAAAUUUGGCUCAAGUGUCAACUCUUUCAUGAACCCUCUGUAUCCUUUUCUUGCUCAUUCAAGCCCUAUUUUCUCUUCUCCUCCCCAAAAUUCCAUAGUACUUUGUAUUACAAACUAUGUGCUUACAACCCCCAAAGUCUCUGGGCAUCCAGAAGGCAGAGAUUUGGCUUAAUUCAUUUUUGCCUCUGCCUAGCCUAACACCCGGCACAUUUAGAUAUUUAGUUAUUGUUUGCUGAAUGAAUGGAUGCAUGAAGAAGAAAAUUUAACAGAUGAUAUCUACAGGCACAUCUGGCUCCAAAAUUGAAUCAUGUCAUCUAGCAAUGCUCAGUAAAGUUAACAUAAGCAAUUUC